This 497-nucleotide ribosomal RNA is filed under the name uncultured bacterium. RNAcentral's name for it is "partial 16S ribosomal RNA". It matches the Rfam family "Bacterial small subunit ribosomal RNA", at positions 28 to 507 of the family's 1533-position model. The record is from RNAcentral.
GAUGAACGCUGGCGGCGUGCCUAAUACAUGCAAGUCGAGCGAACAGACGAGGAGCUUGCUCCUCUGACGUUAGCGGCGGACGGGGGAGUAACACGUGGAUAACCUACCUAUAAGACUGGGAUAACUUCGGGAAACCGGAGGUAAAACCGGGUAAUAUAUUGAACCGCAUGGUUCAAUAGGGAAAGACGGGUUUGCUGUCAAUUAUAGAUGGAUCCGCGCCGCAUUAGCUAGUUGGUAAGGUAACGGCUUACCAAGGCAACGAUGCGUAGCCGACCUGAGAGGGUGAUCGGCCACACUGGAACUGAGACACGGUCCAGACUCCUACGGGAGGCAGCAGUAGGGAAUCUUCCGCAAUGGGCGAAAGCUUGACGGAGCAACGCCGCGUGAGUGAUGAAGGUCUUCGGAUCGUAAAACUCUGUUAUUAGGGAAGAACAAAUGUGUAAGUAACUAUGCACGUCUUGACGGUACCUAAUCAGAAAGCCACGGCUAACUACGUG